GAAGGAUGAGAAGCUUCGACUAAGGUUCGAUUCGAGCGUCAGCGAGAAAGCGUUGCCGCAGGCAACGACCCGAAGGGCGAAACGCGCAGCGCUGAGUCAUCCUUCCCCCACCACCA
RNAcentral lists this small RNA (116 nucleotides) under Salmonella enterica. RNAcentral's name for it is "partial RtT sRNA". It matches the Rfam family "RtT RNA", at positions 17 to 130 of the family's 130-position model. Rfam says of the family: This family represents a bacterial cis-regulatory element known as RtT RNA. The exact function of RtT is unknown although it is thought that it may be involved in changing the cellular response in relation to amino acid starvation. The record is from RNAcentral. Lineage: Bacteria; Pseudomonadati; Pseudomonadota; Gammaproteobacteria; Enterobacterales; Enterobacteriaceae.